Molecule: ribosomal RNA, 1033 nt
Filed under: uncultured bacterium
Lineage: Bacteria
Description: bacterial SSU rRNA
Rfam family: Bacterial small subunit ribosomal RNA
Source: RNAcentral
AGAGUUUGAUCCUGGCUCAGAUUGAACGCUGGCGGCAUGCCUUACACAUGCAAGUCGAACGGCAGCACGGGGGCAACCCUGGUGGCGAGUGGCGAACGGGUGAGUAAUACAUCGGAACGUGUCCUGGAGUGGGGGAUAGCCCGGCGAAAGCCGGAUUAAUACCGCAUACGCUCUAUGGAGGAAAGGGGGGGAUCUUCGGACCUCCCGCUCAAGGGGCGGCCGAUGGCAGAUUAGCUAGUUGGUGGGGUAAAGGCCUACCAAGGCGACGAUCUGUAGCUGGUCUGAGAGGACGACCAGCCACACUGGGACUGUGACACGGCCCAGACUCCUACGGGAGGCAGCAGUGGGGAAUUUUGGACAAUGGGCGCAAGCCUGAUCCAGCAAUGCCGCGUGUGUGAAGAAGGCCUUCGGGUUGUAAAGCACUUUUGUCCGGAAAGAAAACCUCGUGGUUAAUACCCGUGGGGGAUGACGGUACCGCAAGAAUAAGCACCGGCUAACUACGUGCCAGCAGCCGCGGUAAUACGUAGGGUGCAAGCGUUAAUCGGAAUUACUGGGCGUAAAGCGUGCGCAGGCGGUCCGCUAAGACAGAUGUGAAAUCCCCGGGCUUAACCUGGGAACUGCAUUUGUGACUGGCGGGCUAGAGUAUGGCAGAGGGGGGUAGAAUUCCACGUGUAGCAGUGAAAUGCGUAGAGAUGUGGAGGAAUACCGAUGGCGAAGGCAGCCCCCUGGGCCAAUACUGACGCUCAUGCACGAAAGCGUGGGGAGCAAACAGGAUUAGAUACCCUGGUAGUCCACGCCCUAAACGAUGUCAACUGGUUGUCGGGCCUUCAUUGGCUUGGUAACGUAGCUAACGCGUGAAGUUGACCGCCUGGGGAGUACGGUCGCAAGAUUAAAACUCAAAGGAAUUGACGGGGACCCGCACAAGCGGUGGAUGAUGUGGAUUAAUUCGAUGCAACGCGAAAAACCUUACCUACCCUUGACAUGGUCGGAAUCCUGCUGAGAGGUGGGAGUGCCCGAAAGGAACCGAACACAG